GGGAAAUAUUGGACAAUGGGCGAAAGCCUGAUCCAGCCAUGCCGCGUGUGUGAAGAAGGUCUUCGGAUUGUAAAGCACUUUAAGUUGGGAGGAAGGGCAGUAAGUUAAUACCUUGCUGUUUUGACGUUACCAACAGAAUAAGCACCGGCUAACUUCGUGCCAGCAGCCGCGGUAAUACGAAGGGUGCAAGCGUUAAUCGGAAUUACUGGGCGUAAAGCGCGCGUAGGUGGCUCAGCAAGUUGGAGGUGAAAUCCCCGGGCUCAACCUGGGAACUGCCUCCAAAACUACUGAGCUAGAGUACGGUAGAGGGUAGUGGAAUUUCCUGUGUAGCGGUGAAAUGCGUAGAUAUAGGAAGGAACACCAGUGGCGAAGGCGACUACCUGGACUGAUACUGACACUGAGGUGCGAAAGCGUGGGGAGCAAAC
RNAcentral lists this ribosomal RNA (425 nucleotides) under uncultured bacterium. RNAcentral's name for it is "bacterial SSU rRNA". It matches the Rfam family "Bacterial small subunit ribosomal RNA", at positions 356 to 773 of the family's 1533-position model. The record is from RNAcentral.